This 2680-nucleotide long non-coding RNA is filed under the name Mus musculus (house mouse). Its description in RNAcentral is "long non-coding RNA chr13:107545030-107547710". Lineage: Eukaryota; Metazoa; Chordata; Mammalia; Rodentia; Muridae. The record is from RNAcentral.
CACCAACUAGACUGGCCGUCAUUCCUGACUCUUCAUUUCUCUUGGUUGCUAUUACUCUAUUUUCUUAACAUAUGAGCUAUUUUUCCUAUUUAAAUUUUAACUUUUGGAUAUCUGAGAUAGAUCCUUAUAAAGCGUGUGUUAAAUGGAUGGCUGUCUUCUUAUUUUCUGAUGUAACCGGGUUGCACCUUAGAACGGUAAGGAGUUGAGAAAUUUCAAGGGCCUAACGGUAAGGAGUUGAGAAAUUUCAAGGGCCUAUAAAUCUCACCUGCCAUGUUAACUAUUUUGUGUCACUACAUAAUGUAUCAGCUUGGAGGACAUUUGUUUUAGGAGAUAAACAAGCAUAAUAAGGAGUGUCUUCCUUGUGACGUAUCUCUGUGGGCUUCACCUUGGAGCCCUGAACUUUGACUGAGAGUUCACCUGCAUCUGGACUACAUGGACAAGCAUGGGUCUCAGUCAUAUUUGCAAAUAUCUAAGUCGGGAGGAUACAACUGGAGCCGCAAGAGGGUGCAGGGAGCCUUCUCAGCAGAAACUGAACUGGACACAGGCAGAUGUUCCUUUGAACUGAAUAUGGUACUGAGCGCUGCUAAACUGUCAGUUCAAGGACUGCCUCUAUCAUCUCCAAGGAAAGCUGGUUCUGUCCCUUCUUGUCAUAAUUCUCCACAAUCUGCCCAGAGUUUGGAUUCUGCCUCUCCCACUGCCCCCCACAGCCCUGUCGUGCCUGCAGUGGUCAGAAAGACCAUGCCUUUCUGGCCAUGUGGAGCCCACACUCUACGGACCAUUGUUUCAUGGGGCCACACUGUCAUCCCCAAAGACGUCCUAUUAGGACACUUUGUCAACAGCUGUGGGAGGCUUCCCAUCCUAUGAAAGGAGGGAUGGGAACAGUCUUUGCACACAUCGGUGUAUAGGUCAUUCCAACAGUCCAACAAUACCUGAUUAUUCAAGAGACUCCAAUUCAUUUCCCUCCGCUCCUCCUCCACGGUUACUCUUGAUAGAAACCUAAUUUGCAGAAAAAUAGCCCCUGCCAGCUAACUUCUUCUCCGGAAAGCAUGCUGCUGACCCUGGAACUCUUGUCUCAGCGAGUCCUCAUUCUCCUUGUCAAUGCCUCAGUCUUGAAAAGCAGUCUUCUCCGUUAAAAGCCUCCCUUGGCCCCCUUGGCACCUUGUUUGGAAGAUGGUUUCUUUCCCUCCUAUUCUUUGCUUCUCUUUUUAACAUGUGUGCCAAAAUUGGCACUUUCCUUUCUCAGCUCGCUCCCUUUCGGGUAUUAAUGCAGGCAGCAAUGGAGAAAUGUGAGCGAUUUUUCCAGCUUCUGCACUCAGCCAGCCCAUGGCUGAUGGAUUGAAUGUAACAUGCUCUCCCUUACAUAUCACUAUUUAAGUGAAGCGCUUGGGCCGCCUGGUGAUGUAUGGUGUUAUCCAAAGCGCCUGACACAAGCAGGGAGCCAAGGCAGGCUCCACCGUCCUCUGCAAAAAUAACGGUGCUAAUGGCAUUUGGUGCAAAUGAGACUCCUGGAGAACACACUGGGCUUGUUUAUCUCCUUAUUAUUUCUCUUUGUCAAGCAGCCUUUCUCUUUCCUCUCUGGGGCUUCACAAGUGUGGCCUGCCAGGGUUAUUGGGGGAGGGGGAGAAGGUCUCAAAGAGCUCAAGAUUUUGUAACUAAUAUUGAACGCCAGGGAGAAUGGAAGCCAAGGUCAGGUUAAGAAUAAAGAAAAUUGAUUUGGAGGUCAGGGUCAUGGGUGUGAAAGGCCCUGAACAUUGCCAAAAUAUUUUCAUCAUCGCUGUUUUUGUUGUGGAAAAGAACAGAACCUAUGUGAGGAGGCUAAGAGAAGAGAGAGAAACUGUCUUGGAGAAACCUGCAGAAUCAGAAUUUUGCAUGAUUCGUUGAGUUUAUGUUUUCCUUGUUUCCUUGCCUCCCUUGUAUGUGGCCAGAUCUUGAUAAUUAAGCCCUUUCUUCCAACAUGGAACCCUGGACUUGGGAUGAACUAUCUCUCUCUCUAUCUCUCUCUCUCUCUCUCUCUCUCUCUCUCUCUCUCUCUCUCUCUCUCUCUCUCUCUCUCCAUGCUGUUCCCUCUCUCUCUGCUGAAGCUUGAAGACAAAUUCUUCCAGUUCUAUUUGGGGGACUGAGCUAUUUAAUGCACCACUGUGGGUCUUUCUACUUCCCGCCCAUGCCUACAAUAUAUCUACCACACAGAGCUGUAUAUUUUAACGAACGCUCGUUAUUAUUGGAUCUCUGACCCGAUUUCAUUGCUAUAUUCUGAAGCAGAAAACACGCCAGUGGCAUGGAAUUAGCAACACAUUCUGCCAGUGUGUUAAUUGUGCGAGAGCUGUUGGCAGGAGAAUCUCCUAGCACAACACAUCAUUUAUUUUUUAUUUAAAUUUGGUAGCAAUGUUAUAUUGUGUUCAAGGAGAGGUGCCAUGACAUAAAUCACUUGAGAUUUACUGUACAUUCGGGGGGUGGGGGGGAGAAAGAAAGAAAACCUCUGCUUCAUGCAGCCGUGCAGAAGAAAUUAUGUAAUUUUUUUUUUCACUUAGCAGGCAAGCUGCUCGAGCUAAUUCCUAAUUUUUUAUAAAAAGUUGGCAUUUCCCAGCAGUGGUUUGGGACAUCCUCGGGCCCCAACACGGUAUCUGAACGCAGUGGUAGCUGCACAGUAGCAAAUCCCUUACUUUGAUACCAGCAAAUACAC